AGAGCGGGGCGCUCGACACAGUGUGGAGACUGUAGCUCAGAUCGACCCGACUCGGCAUCGCUCGGCUGCCAGUUCGUCAUCGCUGUGCGCAUGUGCGCACCGCGGCGUUAUGAAACCAUGCGACCAGGCCACCCAUAUUUGUUACAAUUACAGUGAAAACACUGACUUUGCCCUGAUGUGUCGCAACACUGAAAAACUUAUGGACAAGAUGGCAGAUAUCAUCUUCCACAAAAAUAACAGCACUAUUUCAUUUGAACAGUGAAACUCAGAUGAAGCAGAACAGCAGCUGGAGGAUUCAUGUCAGUCAGCACUCAGCACUUUGUAUAUUAAGUCUUGUAUACGUUUGACAUGAGCAAACCUGUUUGUCCCUGACUUUGAACAGACAAUGGAUGGAUCUAUUUGAG
This is a long non-coding RNA of Paramormyrops kingsleyae, 404 nucleotides long. RefSeq lists it as uncharacterized. The record is from RefSeq and is a predicted model, not a curated record. Lineage: Eukaryota; Metazoa; Chordata; Actinopteri; Osteoglossiformes; Mormyridae.